Zonotrichia leucophrys gambelii is the source of this 2531-nucleotide long non-coding RNA. RefSeq lists it as uncharacterized. NCBI's taxonomy places the organism in Eukaryota, Metazoa, Chordata, Aves, Passeriformes, Passerellidae. The transcript has 3 exons. The record is from RefSeq and is a predicted model, not a curated record.
UCCAUUUUCUGCUGCUUACAGGUCUUCCCUGUGAGCGUGAUGUGUUAAAAAUAAACCAACAGUGGCAGGUUUCCAUUUCAAACCGAUAUUGCUCCUUUAGCACUGAAGUUCCCAGCACAGGAAGGACAUGGACGGACCCCUUGGAGCAAGUCCAGAUUAUCAGAGGGAUGGAGCAGCUCUGCUGGGAGGAAAUGCUGGGAAAAUUUGGAUUGUUCAACCUGGAGAAGAGAAGCUUUGGGGUGACUUAAUUGUGACCUUCCAGUGCCUGAAGGAAUUGGGAAAGGUUUGGAGGGUUAUCUCAGGGAAUGCAGGGGAAAAGGCCUCAGGCUGGGCCAGGGGAGGCUCAGCUGGGACAGCAGCAGCAAUUCCUGCAUGCAAAGGGUGCUCAGGCCUUGGCAGGGGCUGCCCAGGGAGCUUUGCAGUGCCCAGCCCUGCAGGUGUCCCAGGAAGGGCUGGAGGUGGCACUCAGUGCUCUGGGCUGGGCACAAGGUGGGCACUGGGCACAGCUGGGACUCCAGCCAGUCCAUGGGCUGGCAGGGAUUUUCCAGCCUCAAUAUUUCUGUGGAAAGAAAGAUGGAGAGGAACCUUGGACAGGGCAUGGAGUGACAGCACAGGGAGAAGUGGAUUCAAGCAGAGAGUAGGUUUAGAUUGCACAUUAGGAAUAAUUUAUUCCCUGUGAGGGAAGGUGGGCAGGCCCUGGCACAGGGUGCCCAGAGCAGCUGUGACUUCACUUCCCUGAAUCCCUGGAAGUGUUCAAGGGGACAGGCUGGACAGGGCUUGGAGCAGCCUGGGACAGUGGAAGGUGUCCCUGCCCAUGACAGAGAUGGCACUGCAUGAGCUUUGAGGUAACCCAAACCAUUCUGUGAUUCUGUGACUCUUCAUUAGCCAGUGUGAAAUGAGAUCUGCAAGAGCUGAUCUAAAACUUGCACACCUUGACGUAACCCAUGAACUUAUUGUACAGACAUUAACUUGAUUUUUCAAGUGGGCAUUUGCUGUUUCAGUGCUUUCCCAGGAAGAGAUGGAAGUUACACUCCAGGACUGGGGCUGGAACCUGUGUUGUUUAAGAAAACUGUGCUGCUGUCUGUAGUUGUCUCUCCAGGUGUCCAGCUGCAGAGCAGAGAUGUGACUGCACAGCUCAGCAUGGACCCCAAUUCUCUUCUAAAUUAAACUAUUCAUAUUUCUAGGCCAGAGAGUUUCCCUCACUACCUUUCCCUGCCUAGGGAAAAAGGAAAAUUUCCCCAAAUUUUCCCCAUAAUGGAAAUUUCCACACUAAAGGUAUACUGCCAAAGCCCAAAUUGCUGGAAGACUUUGAAACUGCAAGGAAAAGGAGAUCACAGGAUGCCCUGGAUGAAUGGAAGCAGAAGAGCUGAGGGAAUCCUGUCUGGAAUAAGCCAAAGCAGUGAUUUUCUGUUUCUGACUGCUCCUUCGUCCCUUCUGCAGCGAGUAUAAUCUGCAGCUGACAGACCAUAGAGAACCCAGGGCACGAAGACACACAUGGAAGGAUCUGAUCACUGAAAAGCUCAGCAUGAGCAGGAAAAUGCCUUCCUCAGGGGUUCCUCGUGUGCCUGGAUCAGCCCUGGCCGUGCCCUGGGCUCUGCUGACCCCCAGCAGCCCAGCCAAGGCCUCCAGUGUCAUUUUUGGAUGGAAUGCUGUGAAGCUCUGAGGGUGUGAGGGUUAAUUCCAGCUUCUCACAGCCCAGUGGCAGCCUGGAGGAGGCCAAGCAGUGUUUGAGAUUAUGAAGGCUAAAAUUAACCUCUCCCCCUGCAGAACAAGGGCAGAGCUUGCUCCCCUACCAGUCAGAAAAGUGAGAACAAUUUGGAGAACAGCUGCAAGGAAGAAAACCAACAGCUCUAGUGGAAGGGAUUUCUGUUCAUGCAAUGCAGAAAAAGAAAUUAUUAAGUAGCUGAAUUUCUUACAGAUUAGGUUGAGCUGGUACAUUCUUUUGCUGAUUUUCAGCCCUGCUUUACCCACUGGGGUUCAGAGGUAGUUGAUAAAGGUGUUUGGCUUCAGACACUCACUCAAUCCAAGGAGUUGCACUUCAUGCCUUUGCAUCUCAUCACUCAGUUGCCAUUCUUCAUUAGACGAGAAAAAUUUUAUUUUGCCCUACACAAAGAGGCCCCAGUAAAAAAAUUCCUUGAGGUGUGUCAACUUUCAGUCUGAGAAGAAUGUAAAUGGGUAUUAGGAGCUUUAUUUGGUCAAAUGGGAGAGUUAAUCAGAGCAGAAGGAGGUGGCCUGGAAUCCUGGGAAGUACUGACUCCUGACCAGGAUUUAUUUUAUAAAAUAUUCCAAAAGGUCUCAUACUCAAACAAUUGUUGAUGGUCCCUGUGCCAGGGAGCAGCUCAGGUGUGCCAGAAACUGUUGGAUCCAUUGAUACCUGAUCAUCAUCAACUUCUCUGGGGAUGUGAGAGAGAUUUAAAUGCUCACUGGGCCAAAUGGGGAUGAACAGCCUUAAAAUGGGAUAAAAAUGACUUGACAAUUGGAACAUAUAUCCUGCCCAAGUCUGUUUCUUUUCUGUCUCCAUGGACUUCAGA